CAAGCGUUAAUCGGAAUUACUGGGCGUAAAGCGCACGCAGGCGGUCUGUCAAGUCGGAUGUGAAAUCCCCGGGCUCAACCUGGGAACUGCAUUCGAAACUGGCAGGCUUGAGUCUUGUAGAGGGGGGUAGAAUUCCAGGUGUAGCGGUGAAAUGCGUAGAGAUCUGGAGGAAUACCGGUGGCGAAGGCGGCCCCCUGGACAAAGACUGACGCUCAGGUGCGAAAGCGUGGGGAGCAAACAGGAUUAGAUACCCUGGUAGUCCACGCCGUAAACGAUGUCUACUUGGAGGUUGUGCCCUUGAGGCGUGGCUUCCGGAGCUAACGCGUUAAGUAGACCGCCUGGGGAGUACGGCCGCAAGGUUAAAACUCAAAUGAAUUGACGGGGGCCCGCACAAGCGGUGGAGCAUGUGGUUUAAUUCGAUGCAACGCGAAGAACC
This 436-nucleotide ribosomal RNA is filed under the name Salmonella enterica. Its description in RNAcentral is "bacterial SSU rRNA". It matches the Rfam family "Bacterial small subunit ribosomal RNA", at positions 535 to 970 of the family's 1533-position model. Lineage: Bacteria; Pseudomonadati; Pseudomonadota; Gammaproteobacteria; Enterobacterales; Enterobacteriaceae. RNAcentral also lists the same sequence under 1 other name. The record is from RNAcentral.